RNAcentral lists this ribosomal RNA (245 nucleotides) under uncultured Saccharofermentans sp. Its description in RNAcentral is "partial 16S ribosomal RNA". It matches the Rfam family "Bacterial small subunit ribosomal RNA", at positions 524 to 768 of the family's 1533-position model. Lineage: Bacteria; Bacillati; Bacillota; Clostridia; Eubacteriales; Oscillospiraceae. The record is from RNAcentral.
UACGUAGGUGACAAGCGUUAUCCGGAUUUACUGGGCGUAAAGGGCGUGUAGGCGGCCUUGCAAGUCAGAAGUGAAAUUCUCGGGCUCAACCCGGGCGCUGCUUCUGAAACUGUAGGGCUUGAGUGCUGGAGGGGAUAGCGGAAUUCCUAGUGGAGCGGUAAAAUGCGUAGAUAUUAGGAAGAACACCGGUGGCGAAGGCGGCUAUCUGGACAGUAACUGACGCUGAGGCGCGAAAGCGUGGGGAG